RNAcentral lists this ribosomal RNA (111 nucleotides) under Fukomys damarensis (Damara mole-rat). Lineage: Eukaryota; Metazoa; Chordata; Mammalia; Rodentia; Bathyergidae. The record is from RNAcentral.
GUCUAUGGCCACACCACCCUGAAUGUGCCCGAUUUCAUAUGAUCUCAGAAGCUAAAGUAUAAUUGGACUUGCUUAGUUCUUGGAUGGGAGAAGGAAAGAAAGCAGAAAACU